UGCAGCUUUAGAUCAGCUGUUUCAGUUGAAUCUGCGUAUAGCUCCGUAAAUCCGCUAUUACCUGCUGUGUUAUCUCAAUUUUUGCGGAUAACGGUGGAAACCCUAGCGCAUAAUACGUUACAGCCUCUACUUUUAACCACGAAACACCCCUUUCCUGAGGGAAAGAACGCCUUGCUGAUCGGAUCCUGUAUCCCCUGUCGGAUCCCCUUACAAAAAAGCACACAGGGAAUUGGGAUAUAUUGCCCUACACGAUCGUCACCUCUGCUCGCCCCCGUAAAAAAGGGGUUUGGACAGGGAGGAGGAGAUUGUAGCUUUUUUAUUUUUUAUUAUUUUGUUUACUGUUUGGGGGGGGUCUUUGGAAAGAUGGGGAUACUGCACGUUUUUCGAUACAAAGAGGCUCUCUCUAAUAAGGGGUGAGUGGGUGGGACUCUUGUGGGACGUAUCAUACCAGUCGGGGGUUCAAGGGGUGUUCUCUGGGACGAAAAACGCACACCCCGGUACUCUUUUUACCGUUUUGGGUCCAUUGCGGGCCUGGGAUGGGGGUUCGGGGAUAGCGCGAAUGUAGCCCGCCCACCUCUCUCCCGUCUGACUAUACACGAAAGUACAAGAGAGGUCCCGAUGAAUGGAAAACACUUCACGUUCACAAUGGGUUUCGGCCUCAUCAGCUAGAUGGCUGGGUAUUGGCCAGCCAUGGCGAUAACGGGUGCAGAGGAUUUAGGUUCGAUCCUGGAGAGGUGGCCUGAGAAACAGC
This 751-nucleotide ribosomal RNA is filed under the name Siphoptychium casparyi. RNAcentral describes it as "partial 18S ribosomal RNA". It matches the Rfam family "Eukaryotic small subunit ribosomal RNA", at positions 52 to 407 of the family's 1831-position model. Lineage: Eukaryota; Evosea; Eumycetozoa; Liceales; Reticulariaceae. The record is from RNAcentral.